UAAUUUUAAAAAUAUAAAUAAAUAAUGAAGAUUAGGAUUUAAUACAACAUUUUUUUGUAGAGCAUAAAAUGUUCUCUAUAACCAAGUUUAAUCUACUUCCUAGUUGACAGUGUAUCAGAAAGUACAUAUUAUGUAUUUUUUUAAAAUUAUGGUAUAUAUCCAAUUUUUAAAUUUGUUUUAUAGUUAUGUCAGAAAGGCUGAAAGCUUU
Molecule: long non-coding RNA, 208 nt
Organism: Pipistrellus kuhlii (Kuhl's pipistrelle)
Lineage: Eukaryota; Metazoa; Chordata; Mammalia; Chiroptera; Vespertilionidae
Exons: 3
Source: RefSeq, a predicted model, not a curated record